This is a non-coding RNA of Peromyscus maniculatus bairdii (prairie deer mouse), 1168 nucleotides long. NCBI's taxonomy places the organism in Eukaryota, Metazoa, Chordata, Mammalia, Rodentia, Cricetidae. The record is from RefSeq and is a predicted model, not a curated record.
GAUUUUAUUUUCUAUGCUAGUGGUUAUCAGACAAGGUAGCAUAUACCUCUAAUCCCAGCACUUAGGAUGCAGAGGCAGGGGGAUCUCUGUGAGUUCUGUGUAGGCAAUGUUGUUCCAUAUGGCAAAAUUCUAGGCUGGCCAAGGCUAUAAGUAAUACCGUUUCAAAAAAAAAAAAGCACUAGUGGAUAUAUUAUUUUACGGCUUAAAUGAUCAAGAUUAAACAAAAAUACAAUAUGGAGGAGAUUGUAAAAUGUACUAAUACUAAAUCAAUGUAUUUAGACAAUUUAUUUCCGGGAGGUUUCUGGACACUUGCAAGCUUGGGCUGUCUAUCUUUCUGUCUACACACAGGUCCUGUGCUUCAUCAGCGCUGUUACUUCCGCUCACAUCACCCUUUUCUGGCUAAUUUCUUUCCCAUGUCUAGUACCCUGACUACUCCUUGUGGAGUGGUAAAGAUAAGCUAAAAUCUUUUCAAAUGGCCUGUAAAUAGAUGAAUUAUUGCUAUUUCACAUUAAGAGAAAAAAAGGCAACAUGAUUUGGUUUGUCAUGUAAGCAAAAAUGUUCUUUUCACUUUCAACUUUGAAACAAACAAUCAUUGGCUGAAUCCACUUUCCUGUCAGGUGCAACUUCCACAUUACUCACUGUUGUCACACAGGAACAACAAAACACAGUCCAGUGAAAUAAUUUCUUUGACAGUUGGGGGGUGUCACAUACAAGAAUUGAUAUAUCAGCCAUUAUUUCUCUUUGUGCUUCUCAUCUUAGCAAUGAUGCGACUCAUGGAACUAUUGUUACAGCCUGUAUAGAGUAAAAAUGGUGGCAGUCAUCACUAUGUUAAUCAGCUGCAACAUCCCCAAAGAUAAGACAGUUCCAUAGCCACUCCGAUUGCUGCUCAGUUUGCAGAUUUCCAGGCUGAUAUUCUUUGGCCCUAGCACAGACAGACAUAGCAUGCAUUUUCUGGACCCAGUAUGCUAAGCCUCCUGCAGACUGCAUUCCUUGUGGAGGAGAAAAGCCCACGCUCUUGCUCAUUCUGAAGACUCAGGAUUUCUUCUCCCUCCCAGUGGUUAGCAGCCUGGCUCUACUCCAUUAACAAGCCUGAGACAAACUCUGAAAGGCCCUGAGUUCUCUUUUCUUGCUUAGCCCUCUCCUUUGCAUUAAAUAUUAUUUAAAUGUA